UUACUCUCUCUCUUUUGUUCUUCAUUGAUUUUUCAUCAAUUUUUUGGAUAAAAAAUUUGCUCAACAUUACUACAGAAUAGGUCUUCAAAGAUUGAUUUGGUAAUCAUUAAUCUAAUUUGGAUCCUGAAGCAACUUAAAAAGCACAGAAGAACCUAGUAUCUAAUUUAUUCAAUCCCUAAUUUCUCAUAUUCACUUCAAUUAUUCUGUAGCAUAAACUCAGGUUUUUUUUAUUCAUUACUUUUUUCAAUGAUUCUGUUUGUAUUGAGCGACUUUAAUUUGUUUUCUUUUGUUUUAGAUUGAAUCUUAACUCUAUAAUUUGUUACUGAACUCUUUUCAAAGCCAACUUCAGUUUAAUUUGGAAAUCCCCUAUUUCAGGUGUAAACUAUGACCUAAUCGUAAUAUCCUAUUUUCUAAAUCUAGAAAUCCUGGUCAUGUUUUUUCUGGUCCUAAUCGUGACUCUCUGAAGUCAUGAACUCUACUAAGAGGAAAGAAUUAUUCAGAAAGUUUUAAUUUAUGCCUAGAAUUCUUCAUGUUUGUGGUGGCUAAGUCAUCUGAAAUCUAAACCAAAUAUAGGUGUUGUUACUUUUUGCAUUUUGUGUAGGACUCAAAUCUCUCUAUUUCAUUGCCUACAUUCUGAACAGGUUGACUAUUUGUUUGCACUUAUCAGAUUUAUUGCAAGAUUUUACAAUGACUAAUUUGUUGCCAUAAACUAACGAUAGUUAAAUCCUGGUCAUGUUUUUUUUUGUUCUAUUUUAUUUUAAGAGCUAAUAUGUGUCUAAGUUCUGUGCUAGCAGAAAACAAGUUCGUAGUGGGAAGUGGAGCCAAAACUUGAGGUGAUCUUCCUCAGUUUGAGUCCUGCUCUUGAAAAACUGAACUUGUCGAACAACAAUAUGAUAGGUCAUAUACCAGAAGAACUAGCCAGUAUCCCUGUUCUUAGUGUUAUAGACCUAUCAAAUAAUAAGAUCAAUGGCCCCAUACCUGAAAAUUUUGGUAAUUCUUCAAGUUUACAACUUCUCAAUGUGUCCUUCAACAAUAUCAUAGGUUCAAUUCCAACAGGGAAGUCAUUCAAAUUGAUGGGUAGCAGUACAUUUGUUGGGAAUUCUGAACUUUGUGGAGCACUGCUUCGACCAUGUCUUGGUUCAGUUGGAAUAUUGGGGAGCAAAGGAACAUGGAGGCUUACCCGUAUUCUGCUACUCUGUUUAGGGUCAUUAGUAAUCCUUCUAGGAGUCGCUUUUGGAAGAGGGAUCAAAAGUCGAUGGAAGAUGGUCUCAUUUGCUGAACACUUUAUGUCAUUUUGAAUGGGAUUCUCAGAGAACUUUGGGUGCUGUUAAAAGAAUCCAGUUUGCAACAUGUUGUGGCGAAUGGGGCCUAUGGCACUGUCUAUAAGGGCACCUAUGAUGGCCAAGAUGUUGCAGGUUUAAUUUGCACUCUUAGUUGUCUUUUGUUGUCCAAAUAAUUCAAAAUCUGUUAUUGGUCAUGUCAUUGGGAAUGUAAGUCAAUCUUUAGCAUUUAUCUCUUAAUAUUUGGAAUCUAGUUAUUGAAAUUUUUCUAUAGGUUCUAUUCUGCAUUUGCAAGGACAGCUUUUAAGGGUGAAAGUCAACAAAGUUUACAUAUCUUUUGGGAAAUGGUUGCAUAUAUUGCUAAUACAUUAAUUUUCAUUUGAGUGGAGUUGUUAUAGCUGAAGGAGUACUUGGUGAUGACAAUGUCUUCCAUCAUGGAACGUCAUGGACCCACCUCGUGCUUCUCUAUGUUUAUGUUCAAGUGUCGAGAUGCAUCAUAGUUGGUGCAUUAUUUUCCUUGCUAAGGUAUUUUGGAUAUGGCUUGGAUUGGAAAGAAGCUAGUAUUCUAAUCUGGUCAGGAUUGUGAGGGGCACUUGCCUUGUCACUUUCAUUAUCAG
Molecule: non-coding RNA, 1897 nt
Organism: Arachis ipaensis
Lineage: Eukaryota; Viridiplantae; Streptophyta; Magnoliopsida; Fabales; Fabaceae
Source: RefSeq, a predicted model, not a curated record